AUUGAACGCUGGCGGCAGGCCUAACACAUGCAAGUCGAAUGGUAACAGGAAACAGCUUGCUGUUUCGCUGACGAGUGGCGGACGGGUGAGUAAUGUCUGGGAAACUGCCUGAUGGAGGGGGAUAACUACUGGAAACGGUAGCUAAUACCGCAUAACGUCGCAAGACCAAAGAGGGGGGACCUUCGGGCCUCUUGCCAUCAGAUGUGCCAGAUGGGAUUAGCUAGUAGGUGGGUAACGGCUCACCUAGGCGACGAUCCCUAGCUGGUCUGAGAGGAUGACCAGCCACACUGGAACUGAGACACGGUCCAGACUCCUACGGGAGGCAGCAGUGGGGAAUAUUGCACAAUGGGCGCAAGCCUGAUGCAGCCAUGCCGCGUGUAUGAAGAAGGCCUUCGGGUU
RNAcentral lists this ribosomal RNA (399 nucleotides) under uncultured bacterium. RNAcentral's name for it is "bacterial SSU rRNA". It matches the Rfam family "Bacterial small subunit ribosomal RNA", at positions 30 to 424 of the family's 1533-position model. The record is from RNAcentral.